This 261-nucleotide ribosomal RNA is filed under the name uncultured bacterium. RNAcentral describes it as "partial 16S ribosomal RNA". It matches the Rfam family "Bacterial small subunit ribosomal RNA", at positions 96 to 354 of the family's 1533-position model. The record is from RNAcentral.
UGGCGGACGGGUGAGUAACGCGUGGGUAACCUGCCUUACACAGGGGGAUAACACCUGGAAACAGGUGCUAAUACCGCAUAAGCGCACAGGGCCGCAUUGGCCCGGUGUGAAAAACUCCGGUGGUGUAAGAUGGACCCGCGUCUGAUUAGCUUGUUGGCGGGGUAGAGGCCCACCAAGGCGACGAUCAGUAGCCGGCCUGGAGAGGGUGGACGGCCACCAUUGGGACUGAGACACGGCCCAAACUCCUACGGGAGGCAGCAG